CAAAGCAUUGCGAUGGUCCCUG
This 22-nucleotide small nuclear RNA is filed under the name Arabidopsis thaliana (thale cress). Its description in RNAcentral is "snRNA_14321". The record is from RNAcentral. Lineage: Eukaryota; Viridiplantae; Streptophyta; Magnoliopsida; Brassicales; Brassicaceae.